CCUACGGGGGACAGCAGUGGGGAAUAUUGGUCAAUGGGCGCUAGCCUGACCCAGCAAAGUAGCGUGAAGGAUGACUGCCCUAUGGGUUGUAAACUUCUUUUAUAUGGGAAUAAAGUGCAGUAUGUCUACUGCUUUGCCUGUACCUUAUGAAUAAGGAUCGGCUAACUCCGUGCCAGCAGCUGCGGUAAUACGGAGGAUCAGAGCGUUAUCAGGAUUUGUUGGGGUUAAGGGGAGCGUAGGCGGGUGGUUAAGUCAGUUGUGAAAGUUUGCGGCUCAACCGUAAUAUUGCAGUUGAUACUGGCAGCCUUGAGUACAGGAGAGGUAGGCGGAAUUCGUGGUGUAGCGGUGGAAUGCUUAGAUAUCACGAAGAACUCCGAUUGCGAAGGCGGCCUUCUGGACUGUAACUGACGCUGAUGCUCGAAAGUGUGGGGAGCAAACAGGAUUAGAUACCCUAGUAGUC
Molecule: ribosomal RNA, 460 nt
Filed under: uncultured bacterium
Lineage: Bacteria
Description: partial 16S ribosomal RNA
Rfam family: Bacterial small subunit ribosomal RNA
Source: RNAcentral